RNAcentral lists this ribosomal RNA (433 nucleotides) under uncultured bacterium. Its description in RNAcentral is "partial 16S ribosomal RNA". It matches the Rfam family "Bacterial small subunit ribosomal RNA", at positions 29 to 507 of the family's 1533-position model. The record is from RNAcentral.
AACGAACGCUGGCGGCAUGCCUAACACAUGCAAGUCGAACGAGACCUUCGUGUCUAGUGGCGCACGGGUGCGUAACGCGUGGGAACCUGCCCUUAGGUUCGGAAUAACUCAUUGAAAUUUGAGCUAAUACCGGAUAAUGUCUUCGGACCAAAGAUUUAUCGCCUUUGGAUGGGCCCGCGUAGGAUUAGCUUGUUGGUGGGGUAAUGGCCUACCAAGGCGACGAUCCUUAGCUGGUCUGAGAGGAUGAUCAGCCACACUGGGACUGAGACACGGCCCAGACUCCUACGGGAGGGAGCAGUGGGGAAUAUUGGACAAUGGGCGAAAGCCUGAUCCAGCAAUGCCGCGUGAGUGAUGAAGGCCUUAGGGUUGUAAAGCUCUUUUACCCGGGAUGAUAAUGACAGUACCUGGAGAAUAAGCUCCGGCUAACUCCGUG